Molecule: ribosomal RNA, 449 nt
Filed under: uncultured bacterium
Lineage: Bacteria
Description: partial 16S ribosomal RNA
Rfam family: Bacterial small subunit ribosomal RNA
Source: RNAcentral
AACGAACGCUGGCGGCAUGCCUAAUACAUGCAAGUCGAACGAUCACUUCGGUGGUAGUGGCGCACGGGUGCGUAACGCGUGGGAAUCUGCCCUAGGGUUCGGAAUAACGUCGGGAAACUGACGCUAAUACCGGAUGAUGACGUAAGUCCAAAGAUUUAUCGCCCAGGGAUGAGCCCGCGUAGGAUUAGCUAGUUGGUGGGGUAAAGGCCUACCAAGGCGACGAUCCUUAGCUGGUCUGAGAGGAUGAUCAGCCACACUGGGACUGAGACACGGCCCAGACUCCUACGGGAGGCAGCAGUAGGGAAUAUUGGACAAUGGGGGCAACCCUGAUCCAGCAAUGCCGCGUGAGUGAUGAAGGCCUUAGGGUUGUAAAGCUCUUUUACCCGGGAUGAUAAUGACAGUACCGGGAGAAUAAGCCCCGGCUAACUCCGUGCCAGCCGCCGCUGUAA